AUUUCAAAAGUUUGAUAUUAAUAUCUAAUUUUUAAAUUUAUUUAAUUUGAGUCAGUUAACCAUACUUUAAUUUUAAAUUUUGAAAACGCCGUUUACUUUUACAUGUUUAGUUAGUAUAUUUUAUACAAUAUUCACAACUGUAAAUUCAUUAAGGUAGUAAUUAGUUGAAAUUCGAAAGUCAAAGCGUCGUUGACUGAAUCAAAUCAAAUAAGUUGAAAAAUUAGAUAACAAAAGAAAAAUUUUGAAAGAUUAGGUAACUAAUUCAGAUAUAUUCGGCAUAUUUUAACUUUCUCUCUUUCUCUCUCUCUUCUGACACAUUUUUCACCGACAAUUGUCUGAGUUCUCGUCCAUCUAGCUCAAAAAAAAAGAAAAAAAAAAAGAAAAAAGAAAAAGCAACCACCAGAUAGUCACUCGACAAUCAUCCACUUAAAAGUAUAAUAUGUGGGCUACUUCGAAGGGUGUGUUAUGUGCGGUUAAAAAGUACGAUGCAAAAGUAUCUUAAUACAUAGGUUUGGUUAAUGCAUGAAUUUUGGUGUUGCAUGAGAAAACAUAAUCUUUCUAUGUAUACUUUCUCCCUAGCUUCUGCUUAACCUAAUUAAUAAGGGCUUAUUUGGAUUGGACGCCUACAAAAGUGCUUACUCAGAACACUCUUUCUAUAAGCAGCAACUCAGAACACUCCUGCUGCAGGCUUUGUGGCUUCCCCUCUGCUUCGUGCCACCUGGGACAAAACAAAAGCGCUGCCGGAAACAAGUCCUUAUUAUUUAGGAUCUUUCAUAUUUGGACAAACUUGGGGACCCAACUUUUACAAAACCAAAGUUGGGAAAAACAAAAGUGCCAUCAAUUUAGUAAAACGGAAGCACUGCCAAACAAGUCCUUAAUGUUGGGUUUUUAUUUUUUCUUUUCAAAUUGAGACAAACUCUGGGACUCAAUUGUCCAAUCAGUGUGAAACAAAAUGAAUUUGAACUCUCAAUUCAGGCAUUUAUAUUUGUGGUUAGAGAAGUUUGGGAAAGUUCUACAUUUAAUAACAGUGCAAGAAAUUAACUUGGAAAAAAGCUUAGAGAACACAUAACAAACACAAUAUGAGCGAAUCUAGUACAUGUUAGGAUUUGAUUACAUUUGUAGUUAAAUUCUAAUUGGAUUAAGAUUAAUAUUUAAAUUUAUUGAAGAUAAAUUAAGAUUUAAAUGUUAAUUAGAAUAUAAAUCUAAUUGGAUUAGGAUUUUGGUAGCUUUUAAUGUAAGCUAUAAACAUAGUAUAGGCGUUAUUAUUUUGGUGGUGAUUGUACGGAUUAGUCACACUCAUAUGGCAUGGCCAAGGUGGUUAUGAUUUUUGGAUGCACCUUAUGCAUGGGUGCAAUAGGACGUGAGCGGCUUUCGUAGCCGUGGGUCUUUGGUAUACUUUGUGCAUGGGUGUACAGGAUGAGAGAGAUGUCUUCUGAGAUUAUAGAAGACGAGAGAAGGGUAGGAGAGAUUCAAAAAGAGGGCUCGGGUUGUAGCUACUCUAUUGCAGAAAAGGAGUAGUGUAAAUUUUUUUUUUAAUGAAUAUUAUUUUAUCCGCAUAUUUUUUUGUUUAGUUAUUUUCUCUCUUUUAUGAUUAUAUUAGUUUCUGCUGAGAAGACGAGUUUAUGGUAAAAAUCCGAUUUGAUGCUUUUGUUGUGGAAUUCCAACAAUCAGUACCGGAUCAACAGUAGUCGGUAUCGGAGCAGAUUGCGGAUUCUCAAAAUUUGGUACCGGGGUGAGUGCCGGAUUCCCAACAAUUGGUGUCAGAGACAAAGGUUACUGAUCAUUGGGAGAGAUCGACGUCAAAAUAUUGGAUUACCGAUCUUUGUAGAAGAUCGACGUCAUUGUACGGUAUUACUGAUUUGAAGCGAUCGAUGUUAAAGGACAAUUUGAUCUCAUUAGGCAUGUUGGAUUCGAAGGGUUGCGAUUUUCGGCUUCAGGUGGAGUUAUGAGGGUCCGAAAGCGGGAUGGGGUCGUGUGCGAGGCGAACAAGUAUGGAAACUUGUACGUUUUGAACGGGAGCACAGUCAGAACGAAAGCAAAGGCGGUUUGGGUUUCAAAAGUUCACUAAAGUGCAGUCGCUCGAGAUGGAGCGACGGAUGCGGCUACAUCGAGUGAAGGAGACAAAUUCAAGAUGAAGCUUGCAUGGUAAGUUCGAAGCAGCGGUUGAAGACUACAAAUCCAACCAAGGUGAAGAAUAUUAGGAUUUGGUUAGAUUUGUAGUUGAAUCCUAAUUGAAUUAGGAUUAAUAUUUAAAUCUAUUGGAGAUAAAUUAAGAUUUAAAUAUUAAUUAUAGUAUAAAUCUAAUUAGAUUAGGAUUUGGAUAGCUUUUAAUGUAAGCUAUAAAUAUAGCAUAGAUGUUAUUAUUUUGGUGGUGGUGGUACGGAUUAGCUACACCCAUAUGACAUGGCCAAUGUGGUCAUGAUUUUUGGAUGCACCUUGUGCUUGGAUGCUAUAGGAUGUGACGGCUUUCGUAGCCAUGGGUUAUUGGUAUACCUUGUGCAUGGAUGCACAUGAUGAGAGAGAUGUCUUCUGAGAUUAUAGAAGACGAGAGAAGGAUAUGAGAGAUUCAAAAAGAGGGCUCGGGUUGUAGCUACUCUGUUGCAGAAGAGGAGUGGUGUAAUAUUCUUUUAUUUAAUGAAUAUUAUUUUACUCGCAUAUUUUCUAUUUGGUUAUUUUCUCUCUUGUAUGAUUAUAUCAGCCUCUACUGAGUAGACGAGUUUAUGGUAAAAAACCGAUUCAACAUUUUCGUUGUGGAAUCCCAACAAUUGGUACCAGAUCAACAACAGUCGGUAUCGAAGCGGAUUGCAGAUUCUCAAAAUCCGGUACCGGGUGUCCAAUAUAUAUAUUAUAUAGAGAGAGAGAGAAAGAGAGAGAGAUUUGCUAGGCUAUUAUCAAUAGUGAACUACUCGGUUAACUACAGAUUUAUUUUUGAUAAUUGAGCUUUUAAAUAGACGAUCAAUUCUAUUGAAUAUGAUUUUAGCCUAUUUAAACUAUAUGGAAAUCAAACUUAAUACCUUUUUGAUAUCACUAACCGAACGAUCAAAGGGUCAAAAAAUUUAAAAUUUUAAUGGCAGUAUAGUGUGUUUGCUACUUUAACGGUAUAAAAGAGUUCAAAUCAACUGAAGUUUUAUUAGAAAUUUUUUAAAAACUAUUUAAAAUAAAAUCUAGACUCUAAAUUUUAAAUACAAAAAUUGUAUCAUCACUCAUUCAAAGAUAUUUAUUUUCAGCUAUUCCUUUUUAUGUCCUAUUGAUGGAUAAGAGAAAAAUAUUGAAAAAAAUAAAAUUUGAUUUUUAAAUAAUUUAAAUGAUCUAGAUCAUGUUCAAUGGUGUCGAUCGUCGAUUUAUAAACUCUGUGAUCGAAAAUAAAUCGAAAACAACUAUCCUUUACUGAGCGCUCCAUGGGAUAAUUAUUUUAUGAUAGUAUUCUAGUAAAGCUCCAUACAUACUAUACAUACUAUCUUUUACAAUACUAAUACUUUAUAUUUAUUUGAGAGAUACAUAAAAUACCCUAGCUCUUUAUUGUGUGACUAUUUUUUUCCUAGUCUUAGCCAUAAUUCAAUAUUUUUUCAUUGGAUGGUUAAACAAUGAAUUUGUAUUCUUAAAUUGUUUAAAAUUUUGUGUACAUCCAAAAUAUUGUAAAACUCAAAUAAAAGAUCAAGGCAAGCUUAAAACAUUAAUUUCAUCACUUUCACCUUGUAACUAUUGACGAAAGAAAUCAAAACGAUUAGUAACAUAAAUUAAUUAAAUUCCUUCCACAACCGAUAAGUUGUGAGUUGUUUAUAUAUUUGAGAAUUUAUAUGUCAGAUUAUAAUUAAGAUAACUGUUAGGAUUUAGUUAGAUUUGUAAUUGAAUUCCUAGUUAGAUUAGGAUCAAUAUUUAAAUUUAUUAGAGAUAAAUAAAGAUUUAAAUAUUAAUUAUAGUAACAAUUUAAUUGGACUGAGAUUUGGAUAGCUUUUGAUAUACGUUAUAAAUAUAGUAUAUGUGCUAUUAUUUUGGUGGUGUUGGUAUGACACAGCCACACCCAUAUGGUAUGGGCAAGAUGAUCAUGAUUUCAAAUGUACCUAAUAUAUGGGUGCAAGAGGACAUGUGCGGCUGUCGUGGCCGUGAGUCAUUAGAAUGAGAGAGAAGUUUUCUUUUUAAUUGAUAGAAUAAGAGAGAGAGAGAGAGAGGGUAAAGAGAUUCAGAAAGAGAGUUCGAAUUGAAGUUAUUCUAUUAUAAAAGAGAAAUUAGCUAGGUGUACUUUUCUCUUAAUUAGUGAAUCUUAUUUUAUUCAUAUAUUUUUUGUUUGGAUUUUUCCUCUUUUAUCAUUAUAUCAGUUUUAUCGAGGAGACUGAUUUAUGGUAAAAAUUUGAUUUGACGCUUUUGUUGCGGAAUCACACCAACUUGUACCAGAUCAACAGCUCUGGGUAUCAGGGCGAAUACCAUAUUCCCAACAAUAACAACAAAAUUGUCAACAGUUUUUCGUGAAUUGUUUGUCGUGAAUAAUGUGGUAAUAUUAAAUAAGAAAAAAAAAAGAUGAGCUAAUUAGUUAGUUUUAUUUGAGAACGGAAAGAGUCAAGAAGAGAUUAAGAUAAAUAAGGUGGUGAGUGAAGUAGAGAUUUAGGAUGCCUUUGUACUCACCAACUGGAUACAUCUAGUUGCUUCGAUCACCACAUACUAAUUGUCAACGUUUCGUGCUUCACACAACUACAACAACAACAGCAACAAUUAACAAAGGCCCCAUUAAUUCAAGAAUGGAUCUGAUCUCCUCUUAAUUACUAAAAAAAAAAAAAAGUAUGAAGACCCCUCCAACUGGCUAGGCCAUUACGUGAUAAUCGAAUCAACUUUAUUUUUUUGAUUAAAACUUCACAUAUAUACUUUUGACAUUUUUGCGUGACGUUGUUUUAGUCUAUGUUUUAUAAAUUGGCUAUGAUUGUGACUCGUAAAUAUUAUUGGGUCAAAAGUCACUGGUUCAACCAGUCUGUCACCACUAAGGGGCUGUUUGGUUGGAUGUAGUUGCAAAAACAAUAUAGUUGGAAGUAUAUGCAGUUGUAAAUGCUGCAGUCAUAAUUAUACCAAGUCUGUUUGGUUUUAUGCAGUUGCAACUGCUGUAGUUACCUUUCUUCUGUUUGAUAGUCUGCAGUUGAAAUUUGUAUUUAUAAAUUCUGUCAACUUUUAGAUAGAAAGGUGAGAUUAUCUCUACUGAGUAUAACGUAAUUAUAUUUUAAUUAUUAAUUAAGACUUUUAUAUUUAUAUAUAAUUUAUAUAUUAUAAAAUUAUAUAUUAAUUUAAUAAAUUUUAAUUGUAAAUAUAUUAUAAAUUUGGUCAAAAUAAAAAUUAAACUAGCAGGCUGAAAAAAAAAGAAAAGUAUGAAAAAAAUUUAUUGAUCUUAACAAACAUUACUAAAUCCUAUCAAAUUCAUAAAUAUGUAUUUUUGGAAAAAAAAAAUAAAAAAUAAGCGUAUGAAAAAAAAAUCACACUUUGUUUAUUUUUUUAAUUAGUGAGCAGACUUCGGCUCAACUGCUGCAGUUGGGCCUUCUCAUGCAGAUGCAACUACAGUAGUUGGGCCUAACUGUACCAAACCAAAUAAAAAAUUAAUUAAUAGAUGUAUGCAUUUUCAACUGCAAUGCAGUUGUAAAUACAUGCAACCAAACAGCCCCUAAUUGAAUCAGUAAUGUCAACAUGAUGUUAUAAAUAUUUAAUUAUUAUUUUAAUUUUAUUUUAUAUAUAUAUUAUUCUAGUAUAAUAUUUAAUUAUAAAAUACUGAUUUCUAGACCAAAUUAAGUUUAUGUUAAUUAUCAAGUUUCACUUUUUAUAAUACAACUACUCUAUGUUAACGGAAAAUAAAAUUAGCUAAGCCGAUUUUAAGCCGUUGGAUUUUAAUAUGACUGGAUGAAUAAAACUCGGCCGAUUUGAUUAAAAUCAGACCGGUUCACUAGUUUAAUAGGUGAACCACCAAUUCGAUCGGUUUAAAGUGAUUUUUUAACUUAUCAAGUUUAAAGAGUUGAAACGAACCACUUUAUAAACUUAGUCAUAGUCGUAUUGGUUGAACCGUCGGGCUGAACUCGAUUUUUAAAUCAUUGGUUUUAGUUAGUCAAUCAAAUAGAAGAUUUUUUGGGUUCAUUAAUCAAUUACUAUAUCAAAUUUAAUAAUUUUAACUAUUUUGUAGCAAAUAAAAUUAGAAUAAUUGUCUACCAAAAUGCUUAACUUGACUGAUUAAUACUAGAUUAACUAGAAUCGGAAAAUUAGAAUUUAAAAAGCUGUAAACCUAGCCUAUAUCAAAAUAACCUAUAGUUGAGGGAGUCUCAACUCAUGCAUGUCUACCCAAAAAAAAAAAAAAAAAAAAAAAAAAAAAAAAAAAAAAAAAAAAAAAGAAGAAGAGGGAAUCAGCCCCUUCUUAAUUAGUCCCACUCUUCAUCCUCUACCAUGCCAUUGACUUGUCAUAGGCCACAAUACUCACAAACCCUAGAAAAAAAAAUCUAUUUGAUACCAUUUUGUCCAAACCAUCCAAUGAAUAAAAGCCAUGAAACCAAUGGACAUUAUUAGUAUUUUACACUUUUUGGUGCUUAUCAUAUCAAACCAAAUACAAUAUGUGGUUGGGUUGUUUUGGUUUGGGUGGCAUGUAGAGUAACCAAUCAAAGUAGUGCAUCACAUUACCCAAGUCAAGCUCUCUCACAAACUUUAUACCUUGCUUGUACCAAAAACCCUAUAUAUAAAAGCCUGUAAUGUAUGAUUAAUCAAAGUCAACAAGUGGGUGUUCUUAUAAUUAAUGUUUCUAGCUAAUGCACUUGUCCUUGUACUCAACACUGUCUUAACACAAUGGAAUAGUAGAUCCAUCUAGUAGUUACAAAGUUUAUUAAGUAUUUUCCAUCACUAAGGUUAGAAAUAGAUUUGUACCCCUAUGAACUCAUCCAUUUACAUACAUGCAUGCCUUUUCAAUUGAGACUAUACUAUGUAAAUAUAUAUGCUUUUGAGUAAAAAGCUUUACUAUCAUAUCGAUCUUUUGUACAAUACAAAGCAUUAUCAAAGCUAAUUUUAAAUUCCUACAAUUUCUUGAGAUUGUAGCUCACUCAUUAAUUACACACGAUUUUCAUACGCGUGGCAGAUGUGUUAAAGAUAUUUUUUUAUUUAUUUUUCAAUUUGGUUGAUCUUUUGAGUGACACAAUAUACCCUUAUAAAAGGAAUAUAUAGCCAAAUAUUUUUGAUCUCUCUAGCUAUCCCUUGGUCUUACUCUCAGUCUAUGGUUGAAAGAUCUUCACGAUAAUUUCUCCCCCCAAUUACACUCAUCAUCAAGAGACCAAAUAGAAGAGAAAAGAAGAGUUAAAAGAAAGCAAAUUUUUCUAAAAAUUUUCUCUUAUUAUUUGGAUUAAGGGAGAAAAUAAAGAGAAAAUAAAUUUCUCUCUUCCUCUCUAUUAAAUAUACGAAAUGAAAAACACGAAGCAACUGCUGUUUUUCGAAAGCUUAACAAAAUAUUAAGCUGAGAGAGAAAAUCCUUUUAUAUUUUUAUACUUAAUACUCUCACUCAAGUCUAAUAUCGAGAUUUUUUUAUUGUGAUUCAAAUUCAGAACCUCCCGUUUUGAUAUUUUAUUAAAGAAUAUGAAACAUCUGUUAUUCUCUAAAAACUUAAGAUACCAAUACUCUCUAAUAUUAGAUAGAAGAUAAUUAACCGAUAUAAAAAAAAUCAUUUUCUUUCUUCAUUGCUUCAUUUCGUUUUCUUUUUUUUUUCUCUUAUCAUAUUUCAUUCCAAAUGAAAAAAAAAAAAAAUUUAUCUGCUAAUUUUUCUUUUCUUUUCUUUUCUUUUUCGUUCAAAUGAAGGGUAUAUAUGAAUCCUCUCAUGCACAAAAGAUACCAGGAUGUUUCCACCUUAUUUCGAAGCCAACCAAAUCUCCUCCUUAAUUCCAACCUCUCUCUCUCUCACCCAUCUCAUUUUCCCCCUCACAUUAUUACUGAGUCACCUCCCUUCUUUCUAUCUCCCCUUUUUUAUCUCAUGCACAAGAGGGAGGGAUCACGGAACAUACAUACAUACACACACCUUUAUCGUGUCCCCCUCACUUAUCUCUCUCUCUCCUAUUCCCUUCAAAUAAUAAAUAACAUAAAAUAUUUCAGAUAAUAUUCCAUAGUAUCAGAGCACGAGCUCGGAUUUUUAUUUGUUUUACUUGAUUAAAUUUUCUUUCCAUCUAGCAUUCCCAAUUAACCCACUUAAUUUGUCCAUAAAUUAUAAAUUGAAGUGUCCAUCGACACGGACCGUAUCCGCCGUGCCAUAUUGUACCAGCAAAAUAUCGGCACGAUAAAAUUUUCAUACCGAAGGCACAACUUAAAACUCUAUAUUCUUUAAAUUAAUUAGUAAUAAUUUUAUUAAUAAAAUUCAAAAUAUUUAAUAAAAAUAAAUAAUAAAUAAUUGAUAUAUUUUAUUGCUAAAGCAAAAUAAAUAUUUCAUGUCAUUAUAUUUUGGUGCGCAUAUAUUUUUUGUAAGCAGCACGCUCACGCACCGUGCCGACUAGUUUCUGGCACUACCCUGUGUGCCACGGCACUUAAAUUCUUGUUCCAAAUAUUCCCAACUCCUCCUAUAAUUAACCACCCUAAUUA
RNAcentral lists this long non-coding RNA (8565 nucleotides) under Ananas comosus (pineapple). RNAcentral describes it as "long non-coding RNA (ACOM_LNC005150)". The record is from RNAcentral. Lineage: Eukaryota; Viridiplantae; Streptophyta; Magnoliopsida; Poales; Bromeliaceae.